UUGUCUCAAAGAUUAAGCCAUGCAUGUCUAAGCACAAACUUUAACACAGUGAAGCUGCGAAUGGCUCAUUAGGUCACCCAUAAUUUCUUGGAUCGUACAAUCCUACUUGGAUAACUGUGGUAAUUCUAGAGCUAAUACAUGCGAGCAAGCUCCGACCCUUCGGGGAAAGAGCGCGUUUAUUAGAUCAAAACCAAUCGGGCCUUCGGGUUCGUACGUUUGGUGACUCUGGAUAACUUUGGGCGGAUCGCACGGGCUUGACCCGGCGACGUAUCUUUCAAGUGUGUGCCCUAUCAACUUUCGAUGGUACGCGAUAUGCCUACCAUGGUUGUAACGGGUAACGGGGAAUCAGGGUUC
RNAcentral lists this ribosomal RNA (354 nucleotides) under Naididae sp. N8. RNAcentral describes it as "SSU rRNA". It matches the Rfam family "Eukaryotic small subunit ribosomal RNA", at positions 32 to 378 of the family's 1831-position model. The record is from RNAcentral. Lineage: Eukaryota; Metazoa; Annelida; Clitellata; Tubificida; Naididae.